Molecule: ribosomal RNA, 487 nt
Filed under: uncultured bacterium
Lineage: Bacteria
Description: partial 16S ribosomal RNA
Rfam family: Bacterial small subunit ribosomal RNA
Source: RNAcentral
GACGAACGCUGGCGGCGUGCUUAACACAUGCAAGUCGAACGGAAAGGUCCCCAUCUUGGUGGGGGUGCUCGAGCGGCGAACGGGUGAGUAACACGUGGGUGAUCUGCCUUUUACUUCGGGAUAAGCUUGGGAAACUGGGUCUAAUACCGGAUAGGACCAUGGUUUAGUUUCUCAUGGUGGAAAGAUUAUUGUUUUUGUGCAGGAUGGGCUCGCGGCCUAUGAGGUUGAUGGUAGGGUAAUGGCCUACCAAGGCGUGGACGGGUAGCCGGCCUGAGAGGGGGGACGGCGAAACUGGGACUGAGAUACGACCCAGACGCCAGCGAGAGGCAGCGGUGGGGAAUAAUGGGGAAUGAGCGCAAGCGUGAAGCAGCGACGGAGUGUGGGGGAUGACGGGCUUGGGGUUGUAAGCUACUAUCGAUAGAGAAGAAGCUACGUUUCUGGGGUGUGGUGACGGUAACUUUGUUAGGAAGCCCCGGCUAACUACGUG